This 76-nucleotide transfer RNA is filed under the name Smithella sp. RNAcentral describes it as "tRNA-Thr". It matches the Rfam family "tRNA". Rfam says of the family: Transfer RNA (tRNA) molecules are approximately 80 nucleotides in length. Their secondary structure includes four short double-helical elements and three loops (D, anti-codon, and T loops). Lineage: Bacteria; Pseudomonadati; Thermodesulfobacteriota; Syntrophia; Syntrophales; Smithellaceae. The record is from RNAcentral.
GCCGAUGUAGCUCAGCCGGUAGAGCAACUGAUUCGUAAUCAGUAGGUCGCCAGUUCAAUCCUGGCCAUCGGCUCCA